Molecule: ribosomal RNA, 230 nt
Filed under: uncultured bacterium
Lineage: Bacteria
Description: partial 16S ribosomal RNA
Rfam family: Bacterial small subunit ribosomal RNA
Source: RNAcentral
CGGGGUGGAGUAAUGUCUGGGAAACUGCCUGAUGGAGGGGGGUAACUGCUGGAAACGGUAGCUAAUACCGCAUAACGUCGCAAGACCGAAGAGGGGGACCUUCGGGCCUCUUGCCAUCGGAUGUGCCCAGAUGGGAUUAGCUAGUAGGUGGGGUAACGGCUCACCUAGGCGACGAUCCCUAGCUGGUCUGAGAGGAUGGCCAGCCACACUGGAACUGAGACACGGUCCAG